GAUGAAGAACGCAGCGAAAUGCGAUAAGUAAUGUGAAUUGCAGAAUUCAGUGAAUCAUCGAAUCUUUGAACGCACAUUGCGCCCGCCAGUAUUCUGGCGGGCAUGCCUGUUCGAGCGUCAUUUCCACCAUCAGGCCCCCGGGCCUGUGUUGGGGACCUGCGGCUGCCCGCAGGCCCCGAAAUUCAGUGGCGGUCGCGCCGUAGCAACCGAGCGUAGUAACUAAAACGUCUCGCUCCGGCUCGCUGGGCGCGCUCCGGCCGUAAAACACCCCCCCUUUUCGCAAAGGUUGACCUCGGAUCAGGUAGGAAUACCCGCUGAACUUAAGCAUAUCAAUAAGCGGAGGA
Molecule: unclassified non-coding RNA, 344 nt
Filed under: soil metagenome
Description: partial contains 5.8S ribosomal RNA, internal transcribed spacer 2, and large subunit ribosomal RNA
Rfam family: 5.8S ribosomal RNA (bases 1-120)
Source: RNAcentral